AGUGAACGCUGGCGGUAGGCCUAACACAUGCAAGUCGAACGGCAGCACAGUAAGAGCUUGCUCUUACGGGUGGCGAGUGGCGGACGGGUGAGGAAUACAUCGGAAUCUACUUUUUCGUGGGGGAUAACGUAGGGAAACUUACGCUAAUACCGCAUACGACCUACGGGUGAAAGCAGGGGAUCUUCGGACCUUGCGCGAUUGAAUGAGCCGAUGUCGGAGUAGCUAGUUGGGGGGGUAAAGGCCCACCAAGGCGGGGAUCCGUAGCUGGUCUGAGAGGAUGAUCGGCCACACUGGAACGGAGACACGGUCCAGACUCCUACGGGAGGCAGCAGUGGGGAAUAUUGGACAAUGGGCGCAAGCCUGAUACAGCCAUCCCGAGUGGGUGAAGAAGGCCUUCGGGUUGUAAAGACCUUUUGUUGGGAAAGAAAAGCAGCAGGUUAAGACCCCGCUGUUCUGACGGUACCCAAAGAAUAAGCACCGGCUAACUUCGUG
Molecule: ribosomal RNA, 492 nt
Filed under: uncultured bacterium
Lineage: Bacteria
Description: partial 16S ribosomal RNA
Rfam family: Bacterial small subunit ribosomal RNA
Source: RNAcentral